Long non-coding RNA from Callorhinchus milii (elephant shark), 289 nucleotides. RefSeq lists it as uncharacterized. Lineage: Eukaryota; Metazoa; Chordata; Chondrichthyes; Chimaeriformes; Callorhinchidae. The transcript is spliced from 3 exons. The record is from RefSeq and is a predicted model, not a curated record.
AACAGAAACAAAAUAUUUCACAACUUAAGGAACAGGCGAGCAGUCUGCAGACCCAAGUCAAGGACGAUUUUUCUAAAAUACACCAGAUCCUGACUGACAGAGAGCAGCGGGUGAUGAGAGAUCUCAGGCAGCGAGAGGAGGAGAUUUUACAACGGAUGGAGACAAACCUGCGAGAGACUCAAAGCAAUUUAGAUUCAGUUCAAGAAGAAAUCUCAGAGUUACAGACACAGAUGGAAAAAGACGGGCCGAUGUUUUUGCAGGAGGAAGCUGCUCGGAAGAAAAGGUAUCA